AGUGAACGCUGGCGGUAGGCCUAACACAUGCAAGUCGAACGGCAGCACAGUAAGAGCUUGCUCUUACGGGUGGCGAGUGGCGGACGGGUGAGGAAUACAUCGGAAUCUACUUUUUCGUGGGGGAUAAUGUAGGGAAACUUACGCUAAUACCGCAUACGACCUACGGGUGAAAGCAGGGGAUCUUCGGACCUUGCGCGAUUGAAUGAGCCGAUGUCGGAUUAGCUAGUUGGCGGGGUAAAGGCCCACCAAGGCGACGAUCCGUAGCUGGUCUGAGAGGAUGAUCAGCCACACUGGAACUGAGACACGGUCCAGACUCCUACGGGAGGCAGCAGUGGGGAAUAUUGGACAAUGGGCGCAAGCCUGAUCCAGCCAUACCGCGUGGGUGAAGAAGGCCUUCGGGUUGUAAAGCCCUUUUGUUGGGAAAGAAAAGCAGCAGGUUAAUACCCCGCUGUUCUGACGGUACCCAAAGAAUAAGCACUGGCUAACUUCGUG
This 492-nucleotide ribosomal RNA is filed under the name uncultured bacterium. Its description in RNAcentral is "partial 16S ribosomal RNA". It matches the Rfam family "Bacterial small subunit ribosomal RNA", at positions 29 to 507 of the family's 1533-position model. The record is from RNAcentral.